This 72-nucleotide transfer RNA is filed under the name Marmota marmota marmota (Alpine marmot). It matches the Rfam family "tRNA". From Rfam's summary of the family: Transfer RNA (tRNA) molecules are approximately 80 nucleotides in length. Their secondary structure includes four short double-helical elements and three loops (D, anti-codon, and T loops). The record is from Rfam by way of RNAcentral. Lineage: Eukaryota; Metazoa; Chordata; Mammalia; Rodentia; Sciuridae. RNAcentral also lists the same sequence under 1 other name.
GGGGUUACAGCUCAGUGGUGGGGUGCAUGCUUAGCAUGUGUGAAGCCCUGGGUUCAAUCCCCAGUGUUCUCC